RNAcentral lists this ribosomal RNA (255 nucleotides) under uncultured prokaryote. RNAcentral's name for it is "partial 16S ribosomal RNA". It matches the Rfam family "Bacterial small subunit ribosomal RNA", at positions 523 to 777 of the family's 1533-position model. The record is from RNAcentral.
AUACGUAGGGGGCAAGCGUUGUCCGGAUUUAUUGGGCGUAAAGAGCGUGUAGGCGGCCAGGUAGGUCGGUUGUGAAAACUGGAGGCUUAACCUUCAGACGUCGACCGAAACCAUCUGGCUAGAGUCCGGAAGAGGAGAGUGGAAUUCCUGGUGUAGCGGUGAAAUGCGCAGAUAUCAGGAAGAACACCCGUGGCUAAGGCGGUUCUCUAGUACGAUACUGACGCUGAGACGCGAAAGCGUGGGGAGCGAACAGGA